This is a non-coding RNA of Pelobates cultripes (western spadefoot toad), 761 nucleotides long. The record is from the annotation of a GenBank genome assembly. Lineage: Eukaryota; Metazoa; Chordata; Amphibia; Anura; Pelobatidae.
UUAAAUUAUAUUUGAAUAAGUUUGAGUAUCAGUAUUGAUACAAAUGGAAAUGGCAGCGUAAUAAUCUAUUAAAUAACUGAUUUAUUAUUGAAUACUUGUCCAAGAGCAAUAUGAGUUGUAGUCUUAAGAAAGAAAAAAAGGAGGGAGUCUGUUUUUGUAAAUUUUAGCUGAUUUCCAAAAUUCUGUUGCAAUAAUGGACUUCCUGCCAAAAUUUGACUUUCCUGUCCAGUUGCCAGGUGCUCUGAUCUAAUCUUAAAGCAGUACUGCUUGCAUAGUUUGCAGACAUGCAUAAUGCACAAAUAUGAGAACCAAAUUAUGUCCGUCACAUAGUGUGACAUUUAUUAAUUUAUUUUGGAUUGAGUUAAUUACCUGUCCAAGAAUAUGCUUUUUGUAUUGGCAUUUCUGCUGGAUAUCUGCUACAUGUUUUCUGUGCUAUAAGAUGAUGUGUGAUAUUACAAUGAGUAUGAAGAAUAUUUAAAGAAUAUUUGCAUGUCAUUAACGCAAGCCUUUAGUGUCUUUUUACAACAGAUUUAAAAAACGCUGAUCAGCCAACAAGAAAGGGGCCCCUGGGAAAGAAAAAGAAUAAAUAUAUAAUUUGCUUUUCAAAAUCGUGGAUCCACGUUUCAGUAUUAUUAGGGGAGUAUUUAGAGUUAACGCUACUUUUAAAGUGCAUUGCAUUAUUUAAGAAAAGAAAAAUGUGUUAUGUUAUAUGGUUAUAUAACAAGAAAAAUUAUGGAUGUAUAGGAUAGGUUUUUUCCAAG